Molecule: ribosomal RNA, 572 nt
Filed under: uncultured bacterium
Lineage: Bacteria
Description: bacterial SSU rRNA
Rfam family: Bacterial small subunit ribosomal RNA
Source: RNAcentral
AUUGAACGCUGGCGGCAUGCCUAACACAUGCAAGUCGAACGGUAACGCGGGGGCAACCCUGGCGACGAGUGGCGGACGGGUGAGUAAUACGUAGGAAUCUGCCCAUUUGUGGGGGAUAACCCGGCGAAAGCCGGGCUAAUACCGCAUACGCUCUACGGAGGAAAGCGGGGGAUCGUAAGACCUCGCGCUAAUGGAUGAGCCUACGUCGGAUUAGCUAGUUGGUAGGGUAACGGCCUACCAAGGCGACGAUCCGUAGCUGGUCUGAGAGGACGAUCAGCCACACUGGGACUGAGACACGGCCCAGACUCCUACGGGAGGCAGCAGUGGGGAAUAUUGGACAAUGGGGGCAACCCUGAUCCAGCAAUGCCGCGUGUGUGAAGAAGGCCUGCGGGUUGUAAAGCACUUUCAGAGGGGAAGAAAAAGUCGGAGCUAACACCUCCGGUCUUGACGUUACCCUUAGAAGAAGCACCGGCUAACUCCGUGCCAGCAGCCGCGGUAAUACGGAGGUGCAAGCGUUAAUCGGAAUUACUGGGAGUAAAGGCGCACGCAGGUGGCUGAGUCAGUCGAUUGUG